GAAAAGCCCCCGGCUCAACCGGGGAGGGUCAUUCGGAAACUUGGGAAACUUGAGUGCAGAAGAGGAGAGUGGAAUUCCACGUGUAGCGGUGAAAUGCGUAGAGAUGUGGAGGAACACCAGUGGCGAAGGCGACUCUCUGGUCUGUAACUGACGCUGAGGAGCGAAAGCGUGGGGAGCGAACAGGAUUAGAUACCCUGGUAGUCCACGCCGUAAACGAUGAGUGCUAAGUGUUAGGGGGUUUCCGCCCCUUAGUGCUGCAGCUAACGCAUUAAGCACUCCGCCUGGGGAGUACGGUCGCAAGACUGAAACUCAAAGGAAUUGACGGGGGCCCGCACAAGCGGUGGAGCAUGUGGUUUAAUUCGAAGCAACGCGAAGAACCUUACCAGGUCUUGACAUCCUCUGACAACCCUAGAGAUAGGGCUUUCCCUUCGGGGACAGAGUGACAGGUGGUGCAUGGUUGUCGUCAGCUCGUGUCGUGAGAUGUUGGGUUAAGUCCCGCAACGAGCGCAACCCUUGAUCUUAGUUGCCAGCAUUCAGUUGGGCACUCUAAGGUGACUGCCGGUGA
RNAcentral lists this ribosomal RNA (565 nucleotides) under Bacillus pumilus. RNAcentral describes it as "bacterial SSU rRNA". It matches the Rfam family "Bacterial small subunit ribosomal RNA", at positions 595 to 1158 of the family's 1533-position model. The record is from RNAcentral. Lineage: Bacteria; Bacillati; Bacillota; Bacilli; Caryophanales; Bacillaceae.